UACGUAGGAUCCAAGCGUUAUCCGGAAUUACUGGGCGUAAAGAGUUGCGUAGGCGGCUUAUUAAGCAGAGUGUGAAAGCGUACGGCUCAACCGUAUACACAUAUUCUGAACUGGUAAGCUAGAGGGCGAGAGAGGUACCUGGAAUUCCCAGUGUAGGAGUGAAAUCCGUAGAUAUUGGGAGGAACACCGAUGGCGUAGGCAGGGUACUGGCUCGCACCUGACGCUCAGGCACGAAAGCGUGGGGAGCAAACGGG
Molecule: ribosomal RNA, 254 nt
Filed under: uncultured bacterium
Lineage: Bacteria
Description: partial 16S ribosomal RNA
Rfam family: Bacterial small subunit ribosomal RNA
Source: RNAcentral